UACGUAGGGGGCAAGCGUUAUCCGGAAUCAUUGGGCGUAAAGCGCGUGUAGGCGGUUCCGUAAGUCCGCUCUGAAAGCCCAGGGCUCAACCCUGGGAGGCGGGUGGAUACUACGGAACUGGAGUACGGAAGAGGAGAUUGGAAUUCCUGGUGUAGCGGUGAAAUGCGCAGAUAUCAGGAGGAACACCAACAGCGAAGGCAGAUCUCUGGGACGUUACCUGACGCUGAGGAGCGAAAGUGUGGGGAGCGAACAGG
This 254-nucleotide ribosomal RNA is filed under the name uncultured bacterium. RNAcentral describes it as "partial 16S ribosomal RNA". It matches the Rfam family "Bacterial small subunit ribosomal RNA", at positions 524 to 776 of the family's 1533-position model. The record is from RNAcentral.